GUCUCUGCGCCGCUCGCCCGCCCAGCGCCCGGCCGGCCCCGCCCCACCCCGCCCCGCCGCGGCCCGUCCACUGCUCCCCGCGGGCCGAAGCCGGCCAAGCGGCUGCCCGCCGGGGCUCUGAACGGCGCGGCGGGGCCGGGAGCCAGGGACCCGCCGAGGAGAGCGGCGGCCCCGGACAGCUGCCGGAGGGGCGGCCGCGCGUGGAUGCGGCGGGAGCCGGAAGCCUCGUGCAGCCGGCGCCGUCUCUGCCCCCGGGCGCCCUAUGGCUUGAAGGAUCAACAGGAGAAAUGUGUUGGCAAGCAGAAGCCAGCAUCCAGGGUCCCAGGUGGAAGAAGUCAGGCACCCUAAAAUGGAUCCAUGUUUCCAUACAUUGCCUUGAGCACUGUGUACAGCGGAAGGCCUGGAGUUGCUGUUGAUGACUCGUGGCACAAACUCUGCCCUCUGGCCAGUCAUCUCUGGGAAAGUUGGCUGCCAUGUCAUCAGGAUGUUCAAGCAGCUCUGUGGAAGGGUCUACAUGGUAAGGGACUGAAGCCUCCUGCCAACAGCCAUGUGAAUGAACCAUCUUGGAAGCCCAUCUUCCCUCCCCAGACAAGCCUUCAAGUGACCAUGGCCACUGCCAAGGUCUUAACCACGACCUUUUGAAAGACCCUGAGCCAGAACCACCUGACUGAGCUGCCUGAAUUCCUGACCCACAGGAGCUAUGAGAUAAUAAAUUUUUGUUGUUUUAAAUUGCUAGGAUUUAGAGUAAUUUACUAUACC
Molecule: long non-coding RNA, 759 nt
Organism: Bos taurus (domestic cattle)
Lineage: Eukaryota; Metazoa; Chordata; Mammalia; Artiodactyla; Bovidae
Source: Ensembl